This 377-nucleotide unclassified non-coding RNA is filed under the name uncultured bacterium. Its description in RNAcentral is "contains 16S-23S intergenic spacer region". The record is from RNAcentral.
UCCGAGUUGUCCCCGGCAGUCCUUUUAGAGUCCCCGGCAUUACCCGCUGGCAACUAAAAGCAGGGGUUGCGCUCGUUGCGCCACUUAAGGCAACACCUCACGGCACGAGCUGACGACAGCCAUGCAGCACCUGUGCGGGCUCCCGAAGGAGCGCCGUGUUUCCACGGUUUCACCCCGCAUGUCAAGCCCUGGUAAGGUUCUUCGCGUCGCGUCGAAUUAAACCACACGCUCCGCUGCUUGUGCGGGCCCCCGUCAAUUCCUUUGAGUUUCAGCCUUGCGGCCGUACUCCCCAGGCGGGGCACUUCAUGCGUUAGCGCCGGCACUCAGAGGGUCGCUCCCCCAAGCACCUAGUGCCCAUCGUUUACGGCGUGGACUAC